AAAAUGUAGCUUAACAAAAGCAUCUGGCUUACACCCAGAAGAUUUCAGAGCCCCUGACCAUUUUGA
The sequence is a transfer RNA, 66 nucleotides long. It matches the Rfam family "tRNA". Rfam says of the family: Transfer RNA (tRNA) molecules are approximately 80 nucleotides in length. Their secondary structure includes four short double-helical elements and three loops (D, anti-codon, and T loops).